CACCGCCCGUCACACCAUGGGAGUGGGUUGCUCCAGAAGUGGCUAGCUUAACCUUCGGGAGAGCGGUCACCACGGAGUGAUUCAUGACUGGGGUGAAGUCGUAACAAGGUAGCCCUAGGGGAACCUGGGGCUG
Molecule: non-coding RNA, 133 nt
Filed under: Bermanella marisrubri
Lineage: Bacteria; Pseudomonadati; Pseudomonadota; Gammaproteobacteria; Oceanospirillales; Oceanospirillaceae
Description: Bacterial small subunit ribosomal RNA
Rfam family: Bacterial small subunit ribosomal RNA
Source: Rfam by way of RNAcentral